AAUAGAUACCCCGGUAGUCCACGCCGUAAACGAUGAGUGCUAAGUGUUAGAGGGUUUCCGCCCUUAGUGCUGCAGCUAACGCAUUAAGCACUCCGCCUGGGGAGUACGGUCGCAAGACUGAAACUCAAAGGAAUUGACGGGGGCCCGCACAAGCGGUGGAGCAUGUGGUUUAAUUCGAAGCAACGCGAAGAACCUUACCAGGUCUUGACAUCCCACUGACCGGUAUAGAGAUAUACCUUUCCCUUCGGGGACAGUGGUGACAGGUGGUGCAUGGUUGUCGUCAGCUCGUGUCGUGAGAUGUUGGGUUAAGUCCCGCAACGAGCGCAACCCUUGAUCUUAGUUGCCAGCAUUUAGUUGGGCACUCUAAGGUGACUGCCGGUGACAAACCGGAGGAAGGUGGGGAUGGCGUCAAAUCAUCAUGCCCCUUAUGACCUGGGCUACACACGUGCUACAAUGGAUGGUACAAAGGGCUGCAAAACUGCGAAGUCAAGCCAAUCCCAUAAAACCAUUCUCAGUUCGGAUUGCAGG
RNAcentral lists this ribosomal RNA (528 nucleotides) under uncultured bacterium. Its description in RNAcentral is "bacterial SSU rRNA". It matches the Rfam family "Bacterial small subunit ribosomal RNA", at positions 777 to 1304 of the family's 1533-position model. The record is from RNAcentral.